GUGGCUGUAGCUCAGUUGGUUAGAGCGCCAGGUUGUGGUCCUGGAAGUCGGGGGUUCGAGUCCCCUCAGCCACCCCA
Molecule: transfer RNA, 77 nt
Filed under: Acidimicrobiaceae bacterium
Lineage: Bacteria; Bacillati; Actinomycetota; Acidimicrobiia; Acidimicrobiales; Acidimicrobiaceae
Description: tRNA-His
Rfam family: tRNA
About the family: Transfer RNA (tRNA) molecules are approximately 80 nucleotides in length.
Source: RNAcentral